GGAGAUCCGACAAUGGCCGGCGAUGGGGUUCGACCGGCGGUGGCUAGCAGCGGACGGCCGGCGGCAGGGUUCGGCCGGGGAGAAUCAAGAAGAGAUCGGAAAACAGGGAGAUUCUUUCGCGACUGAUUUUUGGCAAAAACGGUGGCCGACGGCGAGGCUUUGGGCCAGGGGAGAAAGGGAAGAGGGAGAGGAAGAAGGGGAGGGGCUUACCUUGCUCCGGCGGUUGAGAAGAGCUCCGGCGAACCCCUUUUUCCCAUCUAAGAACCUGCGGAUCCUCUUGGAAAAAUCCCUUAAAUUUCUAAAAAAAUCUUUCCAAAAUCAAUUGUAGAGACAUAAGGGAGGGAAAGAGGAUUUUAU
RNAcentral lists this long non-coding RNA (357 nucleotides) under Elaeis guineensis (African oil palm). Its description in RNAcentral is "long non-coding RNA (EGUI_LNC016303)". The record is from RNAcentral. Lineage: Eukaryota; Viridiplantae; Streptophyta; Magnoliopsida; Arecales; Arecaceae.